RNAcentral lists this ribosomal RNA (497 nucleotides) under uncultured bacterium. RNAcentral describes it as "partial 16S ribosomal RNA". It matches the Rfam family "Bacterial small subunit ribosomal RNA", at positions 28 to 507 of the family's 1533-position model. The record is from RNAcentral.
GACGAACGCUGGCGGCGUGCCUAAUACAUGCAAGUUGAGCGCUGAAGGUUGGUACUUGUACCAACUGGAUGAGCAGCGAACGGGUGAGUAACGCGUGGGGAAUCUGCCUUUGAGCGGGGGACAACAUUUGGAAACGAAUGCUAAUACCGCAUAAAAACUUUAAACACAAGUUUUAAGUUUGAAAGAUGCAAUUGCAUCACUCAAAGAUGAUCCCGCGCUGUAUUAGCUAGUUGGUGAGGUAAAGGCUCACCAAGGCGAUGAUACAUAGCCGACCUGAGAGGGUGAUCGGCCACAUUGGGACUGGGACACGGCCCAAACUCCUACAGGAGGCAGCAGUAGGGAAUCUUCGGCAAUGGACGAAAGUCUGACCGAGCAACGCCGCGUGAGUGAAGAAGGUUUUCGGAUCGUAAAACUCUGUUGGUAGAGAAGAACGUUGGUGAGAGUGGAAAGCUCAUCAAGUGACGGUAACUACCCAGAAAGGGACGGCUAACUACGUG